This 382-nucleotide ribosomal RNA is filed under the name uncultured eukaryote. RNAcentral describes it as "partial 18S ribosomal RNA". It matches the Rfam family "Eukaryotic small subunit ribosomal RNA", at positions 592 to 976 of the family's 1831-position model. The record is from RNAcentral.
CAAUAGCGUAUAUUGAAGUUGUUGCGGUUAAAAAGCUCGUCGUUGGAUUUCUGUUGAGGUCGAACAGUGCCGCCCUAUGGGUGCGCAACUGGCUCGGCUUCGGCAUCUUCUUGGAGAGCGCAUCUGCACUUAACUGUGUGGAUCGUACCUCACGUCAGUUACUUUGAGGAAUUGUGAGUGUUUCAAGCAGGCUUACGCCGUUGAAUCCGUUAGCAUGGAAUAAUAGGAUAGGACCUCGGUUCUAUUUUGUUGGUUUUGAGAGCUGGGGCAGCGAUUGAUAGGGACGGAUGGGGGCGUCCGAACCUUACUGUCAGAGGUGAAAUUCUUAGAUCGGUCAAAGGCGAACUACUGCGAACGCAUUCGCCAAGAAUGUUUUCUUUAA